Molecule: ribosomal RNA, 549 nt
Filed under: uncultured bacterium
Lineage: Bacteria
Description: bacterial SSU rRNA
Rfam family: Bacterial small subunit ribosomal RNA
Source: RNAcentral
UGAGGAAUAUUGCGCAAUGGGGGAAACCCUGACGCAGCAACGCCGCGUGGGUGAAGAAGGCCUUCGGGUCGUAAAGCCCUUUCGGACGGGACGAACGCUCCGCGGUGAAAGCCGCGGAGUCUGACGGUACCGUAGGAAGAAGCACCGGCUAACUCCGUGCCAGCAGCCGCGGUAAUACGGAGGGUGCGAGCGUUGUUCGGAAUUACUGGGCGUAAAGCGCGUGUAGGCGGCCUUGCAAGUCAGGCGUGAAAGCCCUCGGCUUAACCGGGGAAGUGCGUCUGAAACUGCUUGGCUUGAGUACGGGAGAGGGAGGCGGAAUUCCCAGUGUAGAGGUGAAAUUCGUAGAUAUUGGGAGGAACACCGGUGGCGAAAGCGGCCUCCUGGACCGAUACUGACGCUGAGACGCGAAAGCGUGGGGAGCAAACAGGAUUAGAUACCCUGGUAGUCCACGCGGUAAACGAUGGGCACUAGGUGUGGGGGGUAUCCACUCCUCCCGUGCCGCAGCUAACGCAUUAAGUAUCCCACCUGGGGAGUACGAUCGCAAGGUUG